GGCAGAAGCUUCUGUGGCUGUUGAGUUACAGGUGUGUCUGCAGGGAGGACUUCUCCAGCUCCAGCGCUGGAUGCUCAGCCCCAACCCAGCUCCCAUGGCAGGGGUUCUCCGACAGGGAAGAUCCAAGACAGAACAGACCAGAUAUCCCUGGAACCCCCCAAACAGACGAAGCAAGAGCUGAAGGAAAUGUGGCAGGGAGGACAAGAAAUGAAAGGAGAGCCUGUGCACAUGGAAGCAUUACCCAGAGGAAGCAGUGGUUCCAUGCCAGCCUCUGCUGCAGGAAGGGAGGCCAUGACAGACCCAGGCCCAGGAG
This is a long non-coding RNA of Passer domesticus (house sparrow), 313 nucleotides long. RefSeq lists it as uncharacterized. NCBI's taxonomy places the organism in Eukaryota, Metazoa, Chordata, Aves, Passeriformes, Passeridae. The record is from RefSeq and is a predicted model, not a curated record. The transcript is spliced from 3 exons.